UUUGUGUUCUGCAGAGGGGAGGAGAAAGGGAAAGAGAUUAGACGCAUGCUAUGGGUUCCUGGGGCAGGGGAGAGGCGGCACAGGAGAAUACCAGACUCUGCUCCCCAAGCUGGGCAUCACCCGCACAGAAUCCUCUCUCUCUUAACAAGACACGUGCGGCUCAGGAGUCAGCCCCGGGGGGCAGGAAUCCAUUAUUCCCCUUCCUCCACUAGAGUGAGAUCCUCUGCACCCCGAGUUCGGGAAUCCCCACCAGAUGCUAUGCUGAGGACACCAGCGUAAGCCAAGCACUGAAGGGGAUUCCAUUUUGGAGUCUGUCAAUGUAGUUCCCAGAUGACCAGCAGAGGCCACUAUUCAAGCCCAGUCUGUACCCUGGACACAGCACAAGGAGUGCUCUGAAAAGGAGUGGGAGAGACACUACAGGACAUGGGACCUAAACCGGAUGGGAGCCGAGCAGCUGACUCACAGCCAGUGCCUCCUUGUCCUUCUCGUAGUGGGCUAGCUUCUUCUGCAGCUCGGCCACCUCCUCCCGGGCCCGCUGCAGGGGCUCUGUUUGCCUCUUGUUCUGAAGCAGCACUUCCGCCAUCUCCUUCUCCAGAUCCAGCUCAUCCCGCAGCACGCGCAUCUUCUUGUCGUACUUGGCCUCAAUCUCUGAAGGGAAGCACCACACAUAGCUGAGUGACCACCCCAUAGGGCAGGCCAGACAGGCUGGGACCCAGUGCAUGAGCACCCCUUUGCUGCUGCUACAAGCUACUUGGUCAGUCCACACUACGGGGAUGGUACUCUUGGAAAGGAUGCCCAUUAAUGGUGCCAUAUCAGCUCCCAUUAGUGUAUGGAGCAGUUACAGCAGAAUCAUGGAAGGGAAUGCCCAGAAAGCCUGGCUGACGGCGGUGCCCAGACACCAUGGGCGUGGGAACACUAGAAACACUCAGGUAAUCAGCCCAUGCAAAUCAAACCACAUUGUAAUAAAGAGGUACCAGCACAAGGCCAAAGCGCCUGUAAAGUCUCCUCCAGCCCCAGAGCCCUGCAGAUCCAGAGAGCCAGUAAGCAGCUGUGAAGGGCACUACCUACUGCUUGGUGCCCACUGUGGUGCCCGCCAGACCACAGUGUUAAACAAUCCCCCCCGAGAGAGAUGGGGGGAGCAGGGCUGCACUGCCACAUGGAGACAGGCAGUGCAGAGUGAGACCUGAGUCCAACCCUGAGUGGCAGCAAAGCACCCGCAGCUGGUGCUGCUCUGAUCCAUUCUACAUGCGCAGACAAGCUGCUCCUGGGAAUUCAAACAAGCCGCUCAGCCUACAGCCCACAAGCAGCAGAAGAGGGAAGGAGGAGGAGAAUGGCCAUCCGCCAGUGGGGCCCUGUUUUGCUCUGGGGAGGGAGCCCAGUGGAGGCACAGUGUGAUGAGUGCUAAGGCAGCUCUCACUCUGGGUUUCAUACAGGAGUCCAAAUAGGAACUGACCUUUCACUUGUCUCUCAAAGUCGCUGCGCAGCCGUGUGAUCUCCUCCUCUUGUUUCUGACAGGGAGAAGCUGCACAUUAAACCUGGAUAGCCAAACAGAGAGAGAAAUCCUCCCCUACUCACAGGCUCAGAGUCAAGGCCAUCUGCGCACCUGGCUGCAGUGAAAAGCCAUCACCGAAAGGCUUGAGGGCUGCUGACCUGCUGUGCCAGUAAUGCCCGCUCUGCCAGAGGCUGCUGAGUGUGCCCCCGGAUGUAUGGACUACAUUCAGACACCUGGGACAUGCAGGGAGCCUGCACUGAACCUGCAAGUGUGUUUCAGGGGCACUCCCCCUGGCUUAUGGACAGUAUCACUCUCCAGGGACAUUUCUUUCCCCACUGACUUUGGCCAUUUCUGUUUGGCAAACACCGAUUCCAGUGCCCGCUCCACCAUGCCCCAGGGUUCCUUGUGCAGCACACACCAGGUUGGUUCUGCCUACAGUAACCCCCAUGUCAGUGCACCAGCACCCAGCAUAGCUCUGGGAACUGCACUGGAUCUGCUAGAUCAAAUCAGACCUUUGGUCCAUAUUACCCAAUAUCCUGCCCCAGGAAAUGACUAAUGUCUGAGGAGGACACAAAUUCCCACAAUGCACCUGGCCAUGCCAAAAAUCCUUCCUGACCCCAUGGGGAUCAGCUGAUGCCCUGGAGCCCAUGGUUUGAUUACCAAUCCUACUGCAGUUUGCAAAGUGACACAUGCAGUUACUGGUCACCAGGUUCUCCAGCCCCGGGUUGGAUUCUGACUCCUGCGGCACUGAACCUACUGGCUGACUCCCAGCCCCGGGAGGACAGACUUCCAUCAGUGACUCUAAAUAGCUCUCCCACAGAUGUCACUGGGUGACCCCUUAGUUUCACAUUACGGGGAUGGUGCAAGAGUCAGGGACUGAUCAGUCUCCAUUCAGCCCUUCAGAGCCUGGAUGUCUCAGCCAGGUGCCUCCUCUCGCCUCCUUCUCUGACAAGCUAACCUUGGGCUCUCCCAUCUCCGUUACACGCCAAUACCACCUAAACCUCGACUUGC
Mauremys reevesii (Reeves's turtle) is the source of this 2503-nucleotide long non-coding RNA. RefSeq lists it as uncharacterized. The record is from RefSeq and is a predicted model, not a curated record. Lineage: Eukaryota; Metazoa; Chordata; Testudines; Geoemydidae. The transcript has 2 exons.